Molecule: ribosomal RNA, 399 nt
Filed under: uncultured soil bacterium
Lineage: Bacteria
Description: bacterial SSU rRNA
Rfam family: Bacterial small subunit ribosomal RNA
Source: RNAcentral
CUGGGCUUGACAUGUGCCUGACCGCUCUGGAAACAGGGCUUCCCUUCGGGGCAGGUUCACAGGUGGUGCAUGGCUGUCGUCAGCUCGUGUCGUGAGAUGUUGGGUUAAGUCCCGCAACGAGCGCAACCCCCGUCGUAUGUUGCCAGCAUUUAGUUGGGGACUCAUGCGAGACUGCCGGUGACAAACCGGAGGAAGGUGGGGAUGACGUCAAGUCAUCAUGCCCCUUAUGUCCAGGGCUACACACGUGCUACAUUGGCGCGUACAGAGGGCUGCGAUACCGCGAGGUGGAGCGAAUCCCUCAAAGCGCGUCUCGGUUCGGAUUGCAGGCUGAAACUCGCCUGCAUGAAGGUGGAGUUGCUAGUAAUCGCGGAUCAGCAUCGCCGCGGUGAAUACGUUCCC